This 626-nucleotide ribosomal RNA is filed under the name Curtobacterium sp. Its description in RNAcentral is "bacterial SSU rRNA". It matches the Rfam family "Bacterial small subunit ribosomal RNA", at positions 56 to 705 of the family's 1533-position model. The record is from RNAcentral. Lineage: Bacteria; Bacillati; Actinomycetota; Actinomycetes; Micrococcales; Microbacteriaceae.
UGCAGUCGAGCGAUGAUGCCCAGCUUGCUGGGUGGAUUAGUGGCGAACGGGUGAGUAACACGUGAGUAACCUGCCCCUGACUCUGGGAUAAGCGUUGGAAACGACGUCUAAUACUGGAUAUGAUCACUGGCCGCAUGGUCUGGUGGUGGAAAGAUUUUUUGGUUGGGGAUGGACUCGCGGCCUAUCAGCUUGUUGGUGAGGUAAUGGCUCACCAAGGCGACGACGGGUAGCCGGCCUGAGAGGGUGACCGGCCACACUGGGACUGAGACACGGCCCAGACUCCUACGGGAGGCAGCAGUGGGGAAUAUUGCACAAUGGGCGAAAGCCUGAUGCAGCAACGCCGCGUGAGGGAUGACGGCCUUCGGGUUGUAAACCUCUUUUAGUAGGGAAGAAGCGAAAGUGACGGUACCUGCAGAAAAAGCACCGGCUAACUACGUGCCAGCAGCCGCGGUAUACGUAUGGUGCAAGCGUUGUCCGGAAUUAUAGGGCGUCGAGAGCUCGUAGCGCUGUCGCGUCUGCUGUGUAAUCCCGACGCUCGACAUCACGCUGCAGUGUGUACUGACAGACUAGAGUGCGUACGCGAGACUGCAGUACUGUGUAGCAUGAGUGCGCAGAUAUCAGAUGCA